Mercenaria mercenaria is the source of this 3351-nucleotide long non-coding RNA. RefSeq lists it as uncharacterized. Lineage: Eukaryota; Metazoa; Mollusca; Bivalvia; Venerida; Veneridae. The transcript has 14 exons. The record is from RefSeq and is a predicted model, not a curated record.
UGGAAUAUAUACCUGGGUAUAUCAUGUGAAAGCAGCAUACCUAGAAUAUAUACCUGGGUAUAUCAUGUGAAAGCAGCAUACCUGGAAUAUAUACCUGGAUAUAUCAAUGAAAUCUGUGAAAAGAUACUUUGGAAGCAUAGAACAUUAACCAAGCAGCAUAAUAGCAGACUAGAUUGAACAGAGUCUGUCCAUGAGGAAUACUGAAAUACAGACUUGACAGAAGAAGAUAUUACAUGUAGUUGUUUCUCAGACUCUAUUCAACAUAUUACCUGCCCUUGUAUUCUCAUUGUAGAGAUACUUAAGUGAUUUUAUUACUGUCAUAGAACCUUUGAUUUAUUGAAGGUAUCUAACUAGUUACAGAUUUGCAACCCUUAAGUAUAAAAUGCCAUACAGGGUGCUUAUUAUUUAUCUUUUACACAGUUUUACUCUGACUGAAUGCCUGGCAGUUUGUCUGAAUGGUGCAAAAACUAUCUAAAUGUGCGUCUAGAAUGCCUUUGGCUUCAUUAAACAUUGUGAAAAAUGCCUGUUUUUUUUUGUAGUGAAAUUUGUGCAGAAUAGCUACAGACCAUGAAGUUCAGAUGUAAAGAGAUGCAGGUCUUUGUUCUACAUGGUGUAUGAGUGAAACAUGUGUAUGGCAGUCAUAGAAAACAUUUAAAAAUAUGAAGGUAUGCUCCACUUUUCACUGAAUGGGGUUAUUUACUUGGAUAGGGAGAUGUGCCCAGUCUGUUAUGUGUUCUUGUUAUACCAGGUAGCAUGGGCUUUAGUGGAACUUUUUCCAUAGAAGAAAUCUGUGAGAUAGAUCUUGCUGCAGCAUGGCAUUGACAAACCAAGAAGCUCAGAUUGUUGUGUGCACACUAGUUUGAUUUGUUUAUGACUUUGAAUGGAUUUCAUAGAAACAGGCUGCUGACUGGAAGUGUCUUGUUGUACAUGUUGAGCAAGUUAGCUGACUGAUUGAAAGGAUUAUAAAAAGGCUGUUACAUUACUGGUAUUGAAAGUUUACCAAAGACUAAAUCAAUUGGCAAUCUUAUUUCAGAACCAAAUACCAUUGUUGUAGGGGUCACACCAGUAGACUUGUGCACAGAUGAACAAUAAGCCAUCAAGCAGAAAGCCGGGGUGAAAGAAAUAGACGAGUGAGGUAAACCUGUGGGAAAAACAACAUCAAAGGUACAGACAGCAACAGUUUGGUUGAUUGAGUAUGCAAAUAAUAUGCGAACAAACUUCCCAAUUCAACCAAACUACAUUUACCAUCUUGCCUAACAAAAGACUCCAUAUACAACAACAUGACAGAGGAAUUAAGAGGAUAAAGAAGAGGAGAUAGUGUCUAAGAGCCACUUCUACUAUAUAUGGCAAACUUGCCUAAGUCAUAUUGCUAUUCCACCAACUUCCAGGUUCUCUAAAUGUAACACAUGCAGCAAGAUAAAAACUCAACUGGGUGACACAAAAGAUAAGACCAAGCAUAAACAGCUGAUCAGCCUCAGACAGAAACAUCUUGUGAAACAGAGCAUUGAGAGGAGAAAAUACUACAAGCAUUCCAUGAAAGGGCGGACAGAACCAGACAAAUACCUGUCAGUAAUUUUGGAUGGGAUGGAUAAAAAAACAACUGAAUUACCACAUUAUCUAUACCUAAGUUCUUUUGUGUCCAAUCUAUGGAAACUGAAAACACAUUUGGUUGGUGUAAUAGUGCAUGGAAUUGGCAACUACGGAUUUUUUUAUUAUUAUCAGUAUCCCCAUGGAAGCAACUUGACGAUUCACUGCCUUCUAUCCACUUUGUACAUGGAGAAAGACACCUUACCAGAUACCCUAUACCUUCAAAUGGAUAACUGUGCUAGAGAAAAUGAAACAAAUUCUCAGUGAGGUUGAGGCGAACAGCAGCUAUGACCUUGACCAAACUUAUGAGCAUCUUUGAGAAAUGCACACCAAGACCAAUAAGUGUGGAAUGCGACAAUGUAUAUAAUGUUACAGAAUGGUUGCAGGAAUUUUUGAAUCCGAUCAGCAGACCGUCCAGACCACAUGUGUUCAGAGUAACCAAAGGUGAAACUGGAAAAGCAGAAAUUGCUUGGAAAAAUUGGACAACUGACAAAGUAAGACUGAAGAAGGAUAGAUGUAGAAGUCCUGAAAAGAGACAUGCAAAAGGCUUCACCAUUUUUCGGAAAACCAGAAGAACGACAAUGGUGGACCAGCUUCUUUGAAAAAAUCGAAAACAAUGAUACAGAGUUAGGAAUCAAUGAUAGAUCAGGAAAGUGGAUGCUAGAUGAAAUAAUAACAGCAAAGCAAAGAUCAAGGAUAAACAGAGAGCUUGGAGUAAUCGACAGAUCCCACAUUAAGAUACUGGCUCCAUCAGAGGAGGAGGAUAUAUUCGUUAACCGGAAGGGCUAUCACAGCAUAAAUGUGCAAGUGGUGUUUGAUGCCUUUGACAGGAUCGAGGAUAUUGUUGCACGUUGGCCUGGUUCUACACAUGACAGCAGGAAACUGCACAACAGUGGGCUGAGACAGCUUUUUGAAAGAGGCAUUGUCCAUGGUGGUUAUCAUCUGUUGGGGGACAGAAGCUACCCGUGCCGUAGAUGGCUGCUGACCCUCUACCUCAACCCUCAACCUGGGGCACUGAGUGCUUACAACAGGUUCAGCUCAUUAUUGGAAAAAAGACCUAGAAAGUGAAUGAUGUUUGUCAAUUGAAAGAUGGGGAUAUGGAUCUAACUGACGUCCCUAAAUAUGCUGGAGAGUGGCCUCAAGUAGGACAAGUGGUCUCAGUCUUAGGGGAUACAUUAAGGCUCAGAUGGUACAAAGGGUGUACAGCUUGAAUAUGGACUCCUUGUUCAAUACCAGAAAAGUGGAAAAAAGGCAAAAAAAUAGCGUUUUUUGAAGAUAUUCCAUCGAAUUGCAUUUGGCUAUGGGGUUUCAAAUUGACAGAGAAGGGUUAUUUGAAAAAAGCAGACUAUUUAAGAGUCCAUUGAUGCCUACAAAGAUUUUUAAGUAGAAGAGUUCAGAUGCAAAGGACUGUAUUCAUAAGUGUGCAGCUUAGUGAAUGACAAACCAUGAUUGUAUUCAAAAUCCAUUCACAUUUUGAUUCUGAUAUGUUAUUUAGAGGAUAUCAUACAUGGCUGUUGGGCAUCAAGGCCAUACUGGCAUACUAGGAGAGAUAUUUGUCUGAGGGUUUUAGCACUAGAGCAGUUUGCCAAUAUUGCCUUAAGUCACAACAGCCCUGUAUGAUAACCUUUAAUUUUAUAUGUCCAACUGCUGAGGUGAAAACGAGAUUAAAAUAGUUUAAUAAUGCAUAGCGUUAUUGAAUGUUCAUGUAAUGAGCAAGAACGUCAGUGUAGGGAUAACAAAUGAUUUUUCAUGUUAUAACAUCUG